CCCCAAUUUAGGCAUGUGUCUAUCCGCAUUGCAUGGCAAUUGAAUAUCCUUUUUAUAAAAUAAUUACAUUUGAUGAAUUAAUGACCUCCAACUCCAAAAUAGGAGGAACAGAGUCACAGAUAAUUGUGACUUGUAAUUCCAAAACAAGUUCACAAUUAAAGUUAGUUACAGGUUCAUGCACUUGCCACAAAUUAUAGUAAUCCAACAAUGUAAGCCUGUAAAAUGCUACAUGUGUAUACUAGACACAGCAAGUGAAUUAAAACCUAUGGUGUCGAUAGUGCCGG
Molecule: non-coding RNA, 284 nt
Organism: Paramuricea clavata
Lineage: Eukaryota; Metazoa; Cnidaria; Anthozoa; Malacalcyonacea; Plexauridae
Source: the annotation of a GenBank genome assembly